Molecule: ribosomal RNA, 326 nt
Filed under: uncultured Pseudomonas sp.
Lineage: Bacteria; Pseudomonadati; Pseudomonadota; Gammaproteobacteria; Pseudomonadales; Pseudomonadaceae
Description: bacterial SSU rRNA
Rfam family: Bacterial small subunit ribosomal RNA
Source: RNAcentral
GAUCAGCAUGCCGCGUGUGUGAAGAAGGUCUUCGGAUUGUAAAGCACUUUAAGUUGGGAGGAGCCGUUUAAUACCUUGCUGUUUUGACGUUACCAACAGAAAAACACCGGCUAACUUCGUGCCAGCAGCCGCGGUAAUACGAAGGGUGCAAGCGUUAAUCGGAAUUACUGGGCGUAUCGCGUCCCGAUGAGGGGUUCAGCAAGUUGGAUGUGAAAUCCCCGGGCUCAACCUGGGAACUGCAUCCAAAACUACUGAGCUAGAGUACGUAGAGGGUGGUGGAAUUUCCUGUGUAGCGGUGAAAUGCGUAGAUAUAGGAAGGAACACCA